Molecule: transfer RNA, 71 nt
Filed under: Roseburia sp. 499
Lineage: Bacteria; Bacillati; Bacillota; Clostridia; Lachnospirales; Lachnospiraceae
Description: tRNA-Cys
Rfam family: tRNA
About the family: Transfer RNA (tRNA) molecules are approximately 80 nucleotides in length. Their secondary structure includes four short double-helical elements and three loops (D, anti-codon, and T loops).
Source: RNAcentral
GGUGCCGUAGCCAAAGGGAAAGGCAGAGAACUGCAAAAUCUUUAUCCAUGGUUCGAAUCCAGGCGGUACCA